AGUGAACGCUGGCGGUAGGCCUAACACAUGCAAGUCGAACGGCAGCACAGUAAGAGCUUGCUCUUACGGGUGGCGAGUGGCGGACGGGUGAGGAAUACAUCGGAAUCUACUUUUUCGUGGGGGAUAACGUAGGGAAACUUACGCUAAUACCGCAUACGCCCUACGGGUGAAAGCAGGGGAUCUUCGGACCUUGCGCGAUUGAAUGAGCCGAUGUGGGAUUAGCUAGUUGGCGGGGUAAAGGCCCACCAAGGCGACGAUCCGUAGCUGGUGUGAGAGGCUGGUCGCCGGCACUGGAGGGGAGACACGGUCCAGACUCCUACGGGAGGGAGCAGUGGGGAAUAUUAGACAAUAGGCGCAAGCAUGACCCAGCGAGACCGAGUGAGAGAAGAAGGCCCUCGGGUUGUAAAGCCCUUUUGUUGGGAAAGAAAAGCAGCAGGUUAAUACCCCGCGGUUCUGACGGUACCCAAAGAAUAAGCACCGGCUAACUACGUG
This 492-nucleotide ribosomal RNA is filed under the name uncultured bacterium. Its description in RNAcentral is "partial 16S ribosomal RNA". It matches the Rfam family "Bacterial small subunit ribosomal RNA", at positions 29 to 507 of the family's 1533-position model. The record is from RNAcentral.